UCGAGAAUCUUCCGCAAUGGACGAAAGUCUGACGGAGCGAUGUCGCGUGAUGGAUGAAGAGCUUCGGUUUGUAAACAUCUUUUAUGCGGGAAGAACGUUGACGGUACCGCAUGAAUAAGGGGUUGCUAAACUCGUGCCAGCAGCAGCGGUAAUACGAGUACCCCGAGCAUUAUCCGGAAUUAUUGGGCGUAAAGGGUGAGUAGGCGGUGCAACUAGUCGGGUGUUAAAUUCCAGAGCUUAACUUUGGAUCCGCACUCGAAACGGUUGUGCUAGAGGAUGUGAGAGGUGAACGGAACUCAUAGUGUAGGGGUGAAAUCCGUUGAUAUUAUGGGGAACACCAAAUGCGAAGGCAGUUCACUGGCACAUUUCUGACGCUCAAUCACGAAAGCGUAGGUAGCGA
RNAcentral lists this ribosomal RNA (400 nucleotides) under uncultured bacterium. RNAcentral describes it as "bacterial SSU rRNA". It matches the Rfam family "Bacterial small subunit ribosomal RNA", at positions 355 to 771 of the family's 1533-position model. The record is from RNAcentral.